This 164-nucleotide ribosomal RNA is filed under the name Symplocos modesta. Its description in RNAcentral is "5.8S ribosomal RNA". It matches the Rfam family "5.8S ribosomal RNA". Rfam says of the family: 5.8S ribosomal RNA (5.8S rRNA) is a component of the large subunit of the eukaryotic ribosome. It is transcribed by RNA polymerase I as part of the 45S precursor that also contains 18S and 28S rRNA. Functionally, it is thought that 5.8S rRNA may be involved in ribosome translocation. Lineage: Eukaryota; Viridiplantae; Streptophyta; Magnoliopsida; Ericales; Symplocaceae. RNAcentral also lists the same sequence under 3 other names. The record is from RNAcentral.
UAAACGACUCUCGGCAACGGAUAUCUCGGCUCUGGCAUCGAUGAAGAACGUAGCGAAAUGCGAUACUUGGUGUGAAUUGCAGAAUCCCGUGAACCAUCGAGUUUUUGAACGCAAGUUGCGCCCGAAGCCAUUAGGUUGAGGGCACGUCUGCCUGGGCGUCUCAC